CAGUCGCCACGGUAAUACAGAGGGUGCGAGCGUUAAUCGGAUUUACUGGGCGUAAAGCGUGCGUAGGCGGCUAAUUGAGUCGGAUGUGAAAUCCCCGAGCUUAACUUGGGAAUUGCAUUCGAUACUGGUUAGCUAGAGUGUGGGAGAGGAUGGUAGAAUUCCAGGUGUAGCGGUGAAAUGCGUAGAGAUCUGGAGGAAUACCGAUGGCGAAGGCAGCCAUCUGGCCUAACACUGACGCUGAGGUACGAAAGCAUGGGGAGCAAACAGGAUUAGAUACCCGGGUAGUCCCUGUCUCUUAUAU
Molecule: ribosomal RNA, 301 nt
Filed under: uncultured bacterium
Lineage: Bacteria
Description: partial 16S ribosomal RNA
Rfam family: Bacterial small subunit ribosomal RNA
Source: RNAcentral